Leucoraja erinaceus (little skate) is the source of this 1869-nucleotide long non-coding RNA. RefSeq lists it as uncharacterized. The record is from RefSeq and is a predicted model, not a curated record. The transcript has 2 exons. NCBI's taxonomy places the organism in Eukaryota, Metazoa, Chordata, Chondrichthyes, Rajiformes, Rajidae.
UUGGACUUUGUAUAUGGAACUGAUUUGCAACAAAGCUGAGAAAUAUAUUGUGCUUUUUGAAUAUUUCCCUUUGCUCUACCUAUUGUAUUGAGUUUGAAUUGAUUGUAUUUAUCUGAUCUGAUCCAAUAGCAUGCAAAACAAAGCUUCGGUACAUGUGGCAAUAAUAAACCUAAAAAUGAUCAUGAGGGACCUAGAUAAGGUGGAUGUUCCUUUUCACAGGGUAGAGGAAUCUGAAACUAGAAAGCACAGAUUUAAAGUGAAAGGGGAAUGGCUUAAAAAGGAACUGAGCAGCAAUUUAAUCUAUUGAGAAGUGAUGGGUAUAUGGAACAAGUAGCCAGUGAAAGCUGUAGUGGGGAAAAUUAAGAUGUUGAAAAGACAUGUACAGCAUCUACUUGAGGCAUGGCCUCAAGAUGUAGGCAUUCAACAAAAAGAGUCCACACCAUCCAAGUCAUCCCCUCUUCUCACUGUACAGAAGCGUGAAGUUGCACACCACCAGUUUCAGGAACAGCUACUUUCCUGCAACUAUCGGACUGACCUAAACAUCCCUAAUCCUACCUGAGCAAUGGAACACCACAGACUGCCAUACACUUGUUUUCGGUUGCAUUUUAGCACUAAUGUUCUUUGCAGUUUUUUUCUUUUCACUGUUUUGUGUAAUUUACGUAUAAUUUAUGUUUUUGUGCAUUGUCAGUCUGUGGGCCUGUGAUGCUGCUGCAAGAUUUUCAUUAUAUUUGUAGCUCAUCAUAUUUGUGUGUAUGAUAAUGAAGUUAAUGAGUUGAUGGAUGCAAAUGGUUUAACGGAUAUUGGCCAAAUGCAUGCAAAUAUGACUAGCUCAGCUUGACAUUUUGCAUGGACAAGUUAGGCUUCAGCGUCUGUUUCCAUGGUGUAUAACUCUUUGACUCCGAUUCAAAUGAACAUGGAAGCAAAAUCUGCUCAAAAGAAAGUAUCGAAUUAUUUCAUUACCCUGAGAUAUCCGAGGAGGCAAUCUGAAUGCAAAUACAACACAUUUUAAUAAUGCGUUGAUUUGCAAAUAAUGGAGAUGUUGCACGAUGCCUCAAUUGGGAUUUAGGAAUGUUUUUAUACUAAAGAGAAACACAAAGAUCACAACAAUUUGGUUAAUUUAGGUGGGAAACAGUUAGUGAAGAACGAAAGCAGAUGUGGCUCAUUGGAAUGGAGGGACGGGAAGCUCAUCUGCAAACAAAAAUGUCAUGUUUCUUUCCAAUUAACAUUCACAACUUUGACUCAUCAAAGGACUGUAGGUAGACAGCCUCCUUCUCCUCUCUGACUUUAAUCCAAACCUCUACAUACUCUGCACUCCCAGGGACAACACAGACGGCUGUGCAUUCAUUACAUUGCAAAAUAUCAGUGUUAUCCAGAAAGUUAAAUUACCUUUUUUUUCCCCAGUUGCAUCCAUAACCCUGAGAUUAAAGACUUUAAAAAUGACACGUAGUCAUGAACAGUGAAUGGAACUGGCAAGUAGAUUGAUCAAGGACUCAAAUCCUGCCUCAUUGUUCUGCUCAGUAAAGACACAGCUCGCUGUAUAGAGUGAAACCAAUUCAACAGUGGGCAUAUGUUAAAAUCAGGAGAAUAUAAUAAAUCCCUAUAACUUCAAACAGAAAUACAAAUCAGAAAUAGCUUUUUUCUAAAGAAUGCGCAUUUGCUGGAGAGAGUGCAAAGGAAAUUCAUCAGGAUGUUUCAUGUAUUGGUGAACUUUGUUUACGGGGAGAGAUUGGAGAGACUGGCUUGUUUUCCUUGGAGCAAAGAAGGCAUAGUUUGAGAAGAUGCCCUUUUAAACUUCUUCCUGCUAAAUGCAUUUCGUUGUCUCUGUACUGUACACUGACAAUGACAAUUAAAAUUGAAUCUGAAUCUGAA